AGAGAUAUAACUCAGUUGGUAGAGUGCUUGCCUUGCAUGCAGAAGGCCCUGGGUUCUAUCCACAGCAUCACAA
Molecule: transfer RNA, 73 nt
Filed under: Urocitellus parryii (Arctic ground squirrel)
Lineage: Eukaryota; Metazoa; Chordata; Mammalia; Rodentia; Sciuridae
Also listed under: 1 other name
Description: Spermophilus parryii (Arctic ground squirrel) tRNA
Rfam family: tRNA
About the family: Transfer RNA (tRNA) molecules are approximately 80 nucleotides in length. Their secondary structure includes four short double-helical elements and three loops (D, anti-codon, and T loops).
Source: Rfam by way of RNAcentral